Molecule: long non-coding RNA, 826 nt
Filed under: Amborella trichopoda
Lineage: Eukaryota; Viridiplantae; Streptophyta; Magnoliopsida; Amborellales; Amborellaceae
Description: long non-coding RNA (ATRI_LNC001553)
Source: RNAcentral
AAGUUUAUUUUGGACCCACCGAAGAAAUGGGACAAAGUUGUCCCACAUCUAAGAGUUAAUAAAGCUUUUUAACAUGUUUAAAAGCCUCAUAAUUGUUGAAUAUGUGCAUGUGUGAAGGUUGGUAGGGUGUACAAUUAGUUGGUGCGGUAUAUUUGACUGGUGGGCCCCAUAUGUAGAUGACCCACACGAAGGUUAUGUCACCUAAUCAGGUAUGAUUGGUUAUAGUGUACACCCUUUGUUUUUAAAAAAAUUUAAUUGCAUUUACAAAUGAAAAGUGUCAAAAAUGCACUUACCUAAAUUUUUCUAUUCAAACCGGUUCGGACAGCUUAACACAUUCGGCCAAUCUCUACUAGAACCAUCUAGUUUUGUUAGAGAUCUAACCGAUUCAAGAGAGAACUUAGAUAGUUCCCGAUAUAUUGAGAGAUCCAAAAAGGUGUGAGAGAUUUUCAAUUCAAAUCAGACAAUCCAGGUCGCUGAUGUCUACAUUCUUGUAUGGCUAACCAUAUACACAAAGAAUGCAUUUAUAUAAGCACAUUUCCUUUGCGUUUAUGUAAAAGGUGUUGUUUGCAUAAGGUUGCAACCCUAAACAAUAAAAAAACGGUACACCUCCAAACUUUGUCGUUUAUGCAAUUUUGGUAUAGAAAAUUAUUAAAAUGGUGCGAUAAAAUAUUCUUAUAUAUUUCAAACUUUGUCGUUCAUGCAAUUUUGGUAUAGAAAAUUAUUAAAAUGGUGCGAAAAUAUAUUCUUAUAUCUAAUUACAAAUUUUUAAACUUCAACAAUUGUAUGGUUCAAAUCAAGCAGACUUAUAAAUGCACGAAAAUCUAAA